GUGGGAUUAGCUCAGUUGGUUUAGAGCGUUACGUUGACAUCGUAGAGGUCGCUGGUUCGAAUCCAGUAUCCCACACUA
This 78-nucleotide transfer RNA is filed under the name Nonlabens spongiae. Its description in RNAcentral is "tRNA-Val". It matches the Rfam family "tRNA". From Rfam's summary of the family: Transfer RNA (tRNA) molecules are approximately 80 nucleotides in length. Their secondary structure includes four short double-helical elements and three loops (D, anti-codon, and T loops). The record is from RNAcentral. Lineage: Bacteria; Pseudomonadati; Bacteroidota; Flavobacteriia; Flavobacteriales; Flavobacteriaceae.